This 461-nucleotide long non-coding RNA is filed under the name Setaria italica (foxtail millet). Its description in RNAcentral is "long non-coding RNA (SITA_LNC004725)". Lineage: Eukaryota; Viridiplantae; Streptophyta; Magnoliopsida; Poales; Poaceae. The record is from RNAcentral.
GUGCGAAGCUGUCGGAGACGGCGACGAGGAAGGUGGCGGCGGCCCAGAGGAAGGCCCCUGCGGCGACGACGCGGGCGCGGUCAUAGCGCGCGGCGGCGUAGGCGGCGAGCGGGUAGCAGGCGGCCUGCAUGGCAGAGCGGCACAGCGUGAGGGCCCCGAGCCCCACGGCGCCUCGUCGGCGCGCUCCAUGGCGGAGACGGGAGCGGUAGCAGGCGGCCUGCACGGCGGAGCGGCACAGUGUGAGGCCCCCGAGCCCCGCGGCGCCUCGUCGGCGCGCUCCAUGGCGGAGACGGGAGCGGUUUCGGAGAAAGAGAAGAACUUUCCCCUUUAACCCCCUCUCUUUCCUCCUUUUUCAAUCCGACACCCAGACUAUUCAUAAUAAUGGACUGCGGGUUGAUUACACAAAACAUCAGGGGUUUUUCUGCAAAAUUACCACGACGUACGAAAAUCCGAGCAGAGGC